ACUGCACAUUUUUAUAGCUUAGGAGGUAAAGCCAUUACUUGGCUCAUGAACUCCUAAGUGUCGGAGAUGUGCUACAAUAACCUGGCAGGUUUUCGCUGACACCUCGAGGGUCCGUGUGGCUCGAUGAGUGGGGUUUGAUAGUAAAUCUUGUCACAAUU
Mobula hypostoma (lesser devil ray) is the source of this 158-nucleotide small nucleolar RNA. The record is from RefSeq and is a predicted model, not a curated record. NCBI's taxonomy places the organism in Eukaryota, Metazoa, Chordata, Chondrichthyes, Myliobatiformes, Myliobatidae.